UGGGGAAUUUUGGACAAUGGGCGCAAGCCUGAUCCAGCCAUGCCGCGUGCGGGAAGAAGGCCUUCGGGUUGUAAACCGCUUUUGUCAGGGAAGAAAUCUUCUGAGUUAAUACCUCGGGAGGAUGACGGUACCUGAAGAAUAAGCACCGGCUAACUACGUGCCAGCAGCCGCGGUAAUACGUAGGGUGCAAGCGUUAAUCGGAAUUACUGGGCGUAAAGCGUGCGCAGGCGGUUUUGUAAGACAGAGGUGAAAUCCCCGGGCUCAACCUGGGAACUGCCUUUGUGACUGCAAGGCUUGAGUGCGGCAGAGGGGGAUGGAAUUCCGCGUGUAGCAGUGAAAUGCGUAGAUAUGCGGAGGAACACCGAUGGCGAAGGCAAUCCCCUGGGCCUGCACUGACGCUCAUGCACGAAAGCGUGGGGAGCAAACAGGAUUAGAUACCCUGGUAGUCCACGCCCUAAAACGAUGUCAACUGGUUGUUGGGAAGGUUCCUUCUCAGUAACGUAGCUAACGCGUGAAGUUGACCGCCUGGGGAGUACGGCCGCAAGGUUGAAACUUAAAUGAAUUGACGGGGUCUAGCUGUUUCC
This 584-nucleotide ribosomal RNA is filed under the name uncultured bacterium. RNAcentral describes it as "partial 16S ribosomal RNA". It matches the Rfam family "Bacterial small subunit ribosomal RNA", at positions 355 to 931 of the family's 1533-position model. The record is from RNAcentral.